UGGGGAAUUUUUGGACAAUGGGCGAAAGCCUGAUCCAGCAAUGCCGCGUGUGUGAAGAAGGCCUUCGGGUUGUAAAGCACUUUUGUCCGGAAAGAAAUCCUCUGGGUUAGUACCUCGGGGGGAUGACGGUCCGGAAGAAUAAGCACCGGCUAACUACGUGCCAGCAGCCGCGGUAAUACGUAGGGUGCAAGCGUUAAUCGGAAUUACUGGGCGUAAAGCGUGCGCAGGCGGUUUUGUAAGACGGAUGUGAAAUCCCCGGGCUUAACCUGGGAACUGCAUUCGUGACUGCAAGGCUAGAGUAUGGCAGAGGGGGGUAGAAUUCCACGUGUGAGCAGUGAAAUGCGUAGAGAUGGUGGAGGAAUACCGAUGGCGAGGCGAGCCCCCUGGGCCAAUACUGACGCUCAUGCACGAAAGCGUGGGGGA
RNAcentral lists this ribosomal RNA (423 nucleotides) under uncultured bacterium. RNAcentral's name for it is "partial 16S ribosomal RNA". It matches the Rfam family "Bacterial small subunit ribosomal RNA", at positions 355 to 768 of the family's 1533-position model. The record is from RNAcentral.